GCAUGCUGUCAUGAGUCUGUAAUCCCAGCAUUCAGGAAGCUAAGGCAGGAGGACUAUGCACUGGAGGCCAGCGUAGGCUACUGAGUGAGACUCAGAAAACAACAAAUUUUAAAUGUGCACACUACUCAUUUUCCAUUGUUCAAAGGACAAGAGCAAUGGCCUUAGGUGAACCUUCAUAUAGAUUUAUUAAAAAGGGCUUUUCACACUAUUAGUGAUAUUAGUUUAGAUAAUGUACCAUGAUCAUUUUGGCUUAAUUUUUGCAAACAUGAAUGCAUUUAACUUUCUGAAAUAGUUGCUUUGGAAAAAAGAUCCAUCUAUUGUCUGUCUGUCUAUCUAUCUAUCUAUCUAUCUAUCUAUCUAUCUAUCUACCUACCUACCUACCUACCUACCUAUUAUCUGCUUGCCUAUUUAUCACUUAUCAAUCUAUCUUUUAUCUAUUAUCUUUCAUCUAUUUUUAAUCUAUCUUCCUUGAUCUAUUGUCUGUCAUCUGUUUCUCUAUCACCGUAUUAUCUAUAUCUAUAUCAUUCAUCUAUCUAUUAUCUGUCUAUCAUCAAUCAAUCCUCUAUGUACCUAUUACCUAACAUCUAUCACCUGUAUAUCCAUUAUAUCAUAUGUCUGUCUGUCUUUCGUCUAUCAUCUAUCAUCCAGCCAUGUCUAUCUACCUAUGUCUCUGUAUUUCUUUUCUCACUUCUCUUUCCUUCUGUCUGUCAGUUAGCUGGGUGUGUCCCUGGAUCUGGCCCCUUCCCUGUAUGUGAAGCAAACUCUGCCUUCCAUGGAUGCAGCUGGGGAGGCAGACACAAGUUCCUCACCUGCCUUCCUGCUGCCCAGGCCUGCUGUGCAGUGGCUUCAGGACAGGGUUUCCGUGGCUAAUUUUGGUUCUCAACUUGACACACCCAGGGAGUCUUAAUUGAAGAAUGGCCUCCAUUCGCCUGGCCUAGUAACGUAGGUGCAGGGGAUGAGGUGAUCUGAAUGAGGCUGGAUCCAUGCCUUCCCACCAGCCACAGUUCCUGAUUUUUUUGCUCACGGUGCUUAUUUAUUGAGAUAAGCCCCAGCCUCUUUGGAUGCACAGCUGCAUCAUGCACAUGGAAACCCCUUCUGAGCCAACAAUGAGUGGACAAGAUGGGCAUCCAGUCUUCUUUUUCUGAUCAUCCUUUGUGAUAGUUUAAUAGCCAAAAGGUCACCCUUAUGGUUCAGAAGAGUCUGAAUGUUAUUGCAGGAGAGAGUCUUAAAAUAAAGGAUAUGGGGACACAGGCAUGCAAACAACGAAUGGUUCUUCGGUGUGCAUAUGUGUAUACCAUCAAAUGUGGGCACACAUAUGUGGGCCCAUGAUUCUCAUGUAUUAAACAUUUACAAAGUACAGGCAUAUCUGGUGCUUGGGCAGGAAGUUAAGGGGCCCUGGGCAUGUCAAAUGACCCUUCUCUGUUUAUUUGCUUUGUAAUUAUGGCCUGUCAAACUUCCUUCUUGUAUCUGUUUUUAAAAAUAAAUACUUAUUCAGAGGAAUUUAACUCUUUCUAUGCCUUCAAGCUAUUUUACUUGCAGCACUGCGCCACAUAUUACCCUGAACUGUUGAACUCUGUUUCUGUUGCAUUCUAUCCCAUAACCUUUCAUUCCACUGAGGUCAACACUUGCUUUUUAAAUGGCACCACUACUGAUUGAGCCCAGCCAGCUAGAGGUGAAAGGCUUUAUCUCUUUCUGAAAUCCUUGAGAAAGAGGUAGUCACUC
This is a long non-coding RNA of Mus musculus (house mouse), 1722 nucleotides long. RefSeq annotates it as predicted gene, 42201. The transcript is spliced from 3 exons. NCBI's taxonomy places the organism in Eukaryota, Metazoa, Chordata, Mammalia, Rodentia, Muridae. The record is from RefSeq and is a predicted model, not a curated record.